UCUGGGAUAGCUCUAAUGGUAGGGCGGCGGGUUGUUAACCCGAAGGUUGAGGGUUCGAAUCCCUUUCCCAGAGCAA
Molecule: transfer RNA, 76 nt
Filed under: Candidatus Falkowbacteria bacterium CG10_big_fil_rev_8_21_14_0_10_39_11
Lineage: Bacteria; Candidatus Falkowiibacteriota
Description: tRNA-Asn
Rfam family: tRNA
About the family: Transfer RNA (tRNA) molecules are approximately 80 nucleotides in length.
Source: RNAcentral